RNAcentral lists this ribosomal RNA (464 nucleotides) under uncultured bacterium. RNAcentral describes it as "partial 16S ribosomal RNA". It matches the Rfam family "Bacterial small subunit ribosomal RNA", at positions 28 to 507 of the family's 1533-position model. The record is from RNAcentral.
GACGAACGCUGGCGGCGUGCUUAACACAUGCAAGUCGAACGGAAAGGCCCAGCUUGCUGGGUGCUCGAGUGGCGAACGGGUGAGUAACACGUGGGUGAUCUGCCUCUAACUUCGGGAUAAGCUUGGGAAACUGGGUCUAAUACCGGAUAGGACAAUCGUUUAGUGUCGGUUGUGGAAAGUUUUUUCGGUUAGGGAUGAGCCCGCGGCCUAUCAGCUUGUUGGUGGGGUAAUGGCCUACCAAGGCGUCGACGGGUAGCCGGCCUGAGAGGGUGGACGGCCACAUUGGGACUGAGAUACGGCCCAGACUCCUACGGGAGGCAGUAGUGGGGAAUAUUGCACAAUGGGCGCAAGCCUGAUGCAGCGACGCCGCGUGGGGGAUGACGGCCUUCGGGUUGUAAACCUCUUUCGACAGGGACGAAGCUUUGGUGACGGUACCUGUAUAAGAAGCACCGGCUAACUACGUG